UUUGCUUCUAUAAAAGGGCUUUAAAUGCCUUGUAUAAGGUCUUCUUCCUAGAGCUACAAAAUAUCUAAAAAGGAUACUACUCACUUUUCCAUUUUUGACGCUCAAAUUUCACUUCAGAAUUUUCAGUUUUUUAGCUCUCUUUAGACUAAAAAAACAAAAAAAUAUAUAUAUGAAAAACUGAGAAAACCAAAAAAAAAAACUGUUACAUUAAACUGUUGGCUAAAUUUUGGAAUUUUUGUAAUUGUUCUUAGUUUCUUGGUUUGAUUUGCAACGUGUUGGGUUUCUUCCAAGGUCUAUUAGCAAUCUAGGUUAAUUCAAGCUCAAUUUUAAACCAUUUGGGUGCAUUCAUGUGAUUUGGGGUCAAUAUUUUAUUUAAACUUGGUCUUAAGUUCAUUCGUGGGUUGUUUGACCUCAUUGCUGGGUUGUUGGUCGAUUGAAUCUGCUGAUAAUUGCUCCUGUUGCUGAUCAUCUCAUUUUUUGUCUAUUUCGUUUUUCAGGUACAUAUCUUGAGCUUGUUUGAGGUACCUCUUCCUGUUGACAGCAUGAAAUAGAAAGUGGAGUAAACUCUAUGUUUUGGAACUGUUAUUUCGUUAUGAUUACAUAAUGUUCUUGUGAAGUUGUGGUUGAACAUUGUCAUUGCAUUUAGGAUGAAGGAUUUAAUUGGAAUAGGUUAUGUAAUAGAUGAACUAUGAAUUGUUAUGUCUUAGCUUUGAAUGAGGUUAAUUUCCCAAGUAUAGCAUAAGUUGUAGGUAAAUUUCUUAUUAAUUGAUUAAUAUACAUGAUGAUUGUGUUGUAAUCAGUUGUUUCACUCUUAAUCAACACCCAAAUAUGAUUUGUUGGA
RNAcentral lists this long non-coding RNA (841 nucleotides) under Nicotiana benthamiana. Its description in RNAcentral is "long non-coding RNA (NBEN_LNC037363)". Lineage: Eukaryota; Viridiplantae; Streptophyta; Magnoliopsida; Solanales; Solanaceae. The record is from RNAcentral.